RNAcentral lists this long non-coding RNA (3874 nucleotides) under Panax ginseng (ginseng). Its description in RNAcentral is "long non-coding RNA (PGIN_LNC008250)". The record is from RNAcentral. Lineage: Eukaryota; Viridiplantae; Streptophyta; Magnoliopsida; Apiales; Araliaceae.
GAUGUUGUUGCGGCUGUAAAAGUGCAUCAAAAUUCCAGAAGCUGCAAGAAAACAGAAGGGAUUAAAAUUUUUGAUAUGUUACAAUAAAUUACAACCAACACUUGGUGUAAAGCCCAAAAUAAAAAUAACAAACAAUAGGAUAUUACAAUUUAAGAUCUUUUAGGAGUGUCAACAUAAUAGAAACACCAAUAUUUUUGUCACCCAUGAUAACAUAUGAUAACAUGAGGUUCUUCAAAGAGCCCAACCAUCUUAAAAUGAUCUUAUAACAAACAGUUGUCCAAAAUUUAACUGCCACUAUAUAGAAAACCAUUACACUACCCAAGCAUAACCAGAAGAACUAACCCCAGUCUGCGAAUACAAGAUUAAUUAAUCAAUAUUAAUAAAAAUUUAAAAACUGUUUAGUAAUAUAAUCCUUCAGUAAAUUAUAACUGGGAUAGACACCUCUUCUUUCCCUGAAAUAGACAUUGCUCUUUAUUUGGCAAAUGUGAUAAUGAAGUCCUGGAACACACUCCUGAAGCACUUACAAGUUCCAAUAGCAAUAAAAGUUCUUAUUAUUUAUUUAAAGAACUAUUGCUAGGCAAGCAGACUAGUGCAGCUUCAGCAGUCUCUUACACUAAGUGUUUCUGUAGAAUGCGGGCACCCUACAGGAUAUAUACCAAAAAUAACCAUAAAUUGAUUGUCUGAGAUUAAAUUUAUAAAAGAAAAAAUUGAGCUCAACUCCACAUAAACAUUUGCAAUUACGAAAGCAGGGAUGAUGUGGUUUAGGAAACAAUUUUGGGAAAAAUACUUAUAUGCCCUUCAUAAAAAAAUAAAUCUACAUAAAAACAAACGAGGGCACACUAUAGAACCUAACCAAAAUAUAUAAAAAAUUUCAGGAACUAACUUUUUCUACAUCCCUUAAAUUUGGCAGGCUUGCAAUCUACUGGAAAGCUAAACACGCCCAAAAUAGAAAGCAGCUAUAUAUACAAUAUCUGACAAAAUAUAACAUCAAUAAACCCCAACUUUUAACUUAAAUUCUACCAAAAACUAAUAGUCAUGCCAGAUAAUUAUUCACAAAGGAUCACAGGUAGCGUAAUUUUAGAAACAAUUUUUGACAACACCUAGUCUCCAGAUCUAGACCAACAAACUCCCUUGAAAGAUUAAAAUAUUACUUUUUUAAAAUUAAAAAAAAAUCUAGAGAACAUAUGACGUAUUUCUUAAAAACAAGAAUCCAACUUUAACAUCUGUUGAAUUUCUAAACAUGUUGCAACAUAAACAACACCAUCGAAAACCGUGAAUUGAACUUGACAAAAAAGAAAAACCCGAUCUGCAUGAUAUAUAGAUAUGAGAGACAGAAAAAAAAUCUAAAUUAAAACAGCUCCAAUGAAGCAAAUCAUAUACAGAUUAAGAACCCAGAAAAAAUAAGAGAAAAAAUUACCUAACCAACAAUGAUCAGAUACAGAUACAGAAACAAAAGUAAAUAUAUAUAAAUAGAUAUGUAUAAAUAAAGGGGGAGAGAGGAUGAGAAGAGGAUUAUUAUGGUUGGCAUGAAAUUAUUGUGAGAUGAGAGAAUAGGAGAGUAAUUGCCCUUUGAUUCAAGAAGAAAAAGAAGACGACGACUAAUGCGACCAAGAUGAGGGUUUGUGUCGUCGUAUAGCAGUAGUCAAAGAUAAUGAAAAAUUCAAAAACAAACAUACAACUUGAAGCUCGAAGUCUCAUGUCCAUGGAAGCUCAAAUAUUAAGUAUUUGAAAAGUACCAACAAUAAAGACCUAAAGAACCCUUGCCUUCAUUUUUACCCUCCAAUUUACUACAGAUUAUCAACUUAGCACAAAAUCGGGUCCAAAUAAAAUAUCAAACAUCCAAAAAAAAUAGUCAUAGUGGGUACACAUUUCUCAACAGCAAGAUUUAGUUUCAUUAAACACUUGUAAAAAGAAACACUUUUCUUGUUCAUCAUUCAGAAAGUAGUAACAGAAACUAACCAAAAAGAAUAUAAAUUAAAAAAAAUCAAUGAAAUUGAGAAAUUUAAAGAUCCCCUUCUCUUCUUUCCCUCUCUUUUUUCAUUUUUAAUAAGAAAUUAGAAUUUUAUAAAUGAGGAAGAGAGUGACAGUUCACAAUUAAUUAUUUCUUAUAAUAUUUGAGCAAGCAAACGAGCUCAAAGCUGCUGUUUAUCUAGAAUGCUAUUUUUCCCCCAAAUCUAUCCAUAUUCAGAUAAUCUAUAACAGAGUGUAACUCAAAUAAUCAUCACUCACAGAAAACUAUCUAACUCAAAAAUAGCAUCAUAAUUAAAUUACACAAACCCAUAAAAGUUGAUUCAAACCAUGUCUCAAGGCUUCUGUGCAGAAAACAUAAUGAAGGAUUGUUGAAUUGUGCUUGUGUAGUUGAUCAGACCACAUGAUGAGCACAAAUCUUCAAUCUCCUCCGCUGUCAAAUAGUUGUAAUCUCGCAGGACCCUCUGACGGAAAAAAUUACAUAUAUCAAGACUAAGAUGAUAAUCUUUAAGUAAAAGCCAAUUGAGCUAGGAGACAGGCUGCUUAUUAUUUUAAAUCUUUUAAUCCUACUACAAUAGCUCUAUCCGGUGUCAUACUGUCAAUCAUUCAACUUGGGAUAUCCAAGAAAUCGAUAUUUUUGUGGAAGAUGUAGUAGUUGGCAAUGCAUUACACCACAAUGUGUUUCUAAAGUACCAUUUAUCAAAACCACAAACUCCAUUCAAUUUAAGCAUCUGGAUAUUAAUAAGUAUAAGAUGAGUGCAGAAAGCAAAGAAGGAAAGAAAUUUAAACAUCAAAAGGUGCAUAUAAAGUAAAGACUAACUCAGACUUGCAGUCUCAUGAUAGGAUUACGAUCAUGAACAAUCACAAAAACUGGCAUUAGUUUACACUUGUUACAAUUUAAAUGUUAUUAAUUCCAUGCCAUAAGACACAACAUAAUUGCCCAUAAUGGAGAAAAUGGCUUCCUUGCAAACAACCUAAAUAUUCAUCACAAACACCACAAACAAAAAAUAAAUAUAAAAACAAACAUAAAUUGAAUAGCAGAUAUUAAUACUACCUCCGUCCCACAAUAAGUGCUUUUUUAGGCUUAAUAUUUUUUUCCAAAAUAAGUGAUGUGUUAGAACUCCAAUACAAUUUUUGCAAUAUUUUCUCAUAUAUGCCCUUAUGCAUUCAAUGGUAUUUAUUGCAUCUUACCAUCACUAUAAUUAAAUGACACUCAUUAACUCUUCAACUUCAAAGAAAAUAUAUUAAGGGUAUUUUUGCCAUUUUAGCUUGUGUAUCGGUAUGUGUGAUUUAAGCUAAAAAAACACUUAUUAUGGGACGGAGGUAGUAUUUCAUUAGAAUAAACUUGAGACAAAGAGAGAAACCAAAUAAUAUUUCCAUAACAUAUAAUUGUACCAAUAACAACUAUAAUGGCCAUACUCAAGGGCCAAGAAUAUAACCAGAAUAUGAAAAUAUCAUCAAAAACUGUAAAAUCAUCAAGCACUACUAAAAAAUAAAAAUAAAAAUAAAGCCCUAAACAGUAAAUACACAUAUAUAGACAAAUCCACAUAAGUAGAGAUAAAUUCAUUGACUAACGCUCAAAAUAAACUCAGUUUAUAUACCAUCCGAGCCCAAUUGGUAGAAAAAUUACCUCAAAAAUUUUUGGAGUCGGCGACUGGCGAGUGAAGAGACGACUGAAUCCUUUGAAGAGAAACGAGAAAUUAGAAACUACUGAAGAGAAUUCAGAAGAUGGAUCAGUGACAGUGGCCGUUGGGAGAGGAUGGAUCGGAGAUGGUUGGCAUGCAUAGAAUGGUUCGAGCUUUCGAGGAUGGGUCUGAGAUCUAUUUGGGGGAAUGAACUAAAACUUUGAAAGGAUAAGAAAAUUGAAAUAUUAUUUAUGUAACCGGUCCAACUGGCUCGGUUGUAU